AAGGAGGUGGCAGAUUGGAUGUGCAUCUAGCUUGAAACUAGAAAAUGGGGGUUCAAAUCCUUCUUUCCUUA
Molecule: transfer RNA, 71 nt
Filed under: Monognathus jesperseni
Lineage: Eukaryota; Metazoa; Chordata; Actinopteri; Anguilliformes; Monognathidae
Description: tRNA-Ser (UCN)
Rfam family: tRNA
About the family: Transfer RNA (tRNA) molecules are approximately 80 nucleotides in length. Their secondary structure includes four short double-helical elements and three loops (D, anti-codon, and T loops). Further hydrogen bonds mediate the characteristic L-shaped molecular structure. tRNAs have two regions of fundamental functional importance: the anti-codon, which is responsible for specific mRNA codon recognition, and the 3' end, to which the tRNAs corresponding amino acid is attached (by aminoacyl-tRNA synthetases). tRNAs cope with the degeneracy of the genetic code in two manners: having more than one tRNA (with a specific anti-codon) for a particular amino acid; and 'wobble' base-pairing, i.e. permitting non-standard base-pairing at the 3rd anti-codon position.
Source: RNAcentral